Molecule: long non-coding RNA, 2953 nt
Organism: Wasmannia auropunctata (little fire ant)
Lineage: Eukaryota; Metazoa; Arthropoda; Insecta; Hymenoptera; Formicidae
Exons: 3
Source: RefSeq, a predicted model, not a curated record
GUAUUAAGGUAGAGUUACCAAACAAUGAAUAAUUUACGAGAUAUUUCAUAUGUUAUGUCAAAAUGUGUUAGAAUAAAAUGCAAAGUAUCUCAUAGAUUAUUGACUUUCGAUAGCUCUACUUUAACACUUUUAUAUGCAGAAUAAUUAGAGGAAUCACAUUAUGUAAAGAAAAUCAUAUAACUCCAUUUUAAAAAACAGCACUGACCUUUGUAUGGCUUUGAAAAAUUGUAAUAUUCGAAAAUUAAUUUUGCCAUCAUUUGCCUUCCUGCGAGUCAUGUAACUUUAGUCCUGAAACAUUUUUCCGUAUCUUCCAUAUUUUCCCAUCAGAUAUUUGCCCAGGACAAAUUAAAAUGGGACGCUGUAUGUCACUGUACGUACAUACGUCAAUCCGACCUCGCACACACACUCGACGCCAAUCAUCGGCGGUACUCACAUUGUCGAACGCGUAUCCAUACUUCCCGACGUAGCGAUCGCUCUUGCUCAUCUCGCUAUCGCAUCUCGGAGGUGACAACCUCCGAGAGAGUUUCCGAAAAGAGAAAAGUUUUGUUUUCCCUCGCGUACAUACACCGCGGAUACUCUUCGAACGUCAAGUUUCGUACAGCACAAUUCCCUCUCGCUUACGGAUACGUCACUGAUAUACCCGAGUCGCGGUGAAACCGCGGCAACGCGACGCGCAAGUAGCUCGCCGGCGCGAAUCGCCGUAGGAACUGACUGGUUUAGAACGGGCGGGAGACAUUAUCAGCGUUUAUCAACCGCGACCCCUGACCAAUCGCGGCCAAUAAACCGGCAAAUUCCCCUUUCCCCGCAGCAGGCGAAAAUUAUAUCGCAAAUCCCGCCGAGUGGGAUCAAACACCUUUUUCUUCUCCGGUCUGUUGCACUCGCCGCAAACUUAUCGUCACCGCUAUUUAACUUAAUUAUUAUAACCGUUGGCUAAUUAGUUACACGAAAAAACUAAUUAAGCUGCAUUUACGCGAAAAAAAACAAUUUUUCAAAGCCACAUAAGAAGGUCGUCAUUUUUUUUUUAUAAUGGAAUUAUAUUAUGUGAUUUUCUUUACACAAUAUGAUUCCUAUAAUUCGGUAUGAAAGUAUAAGAGUUAUCGAAAAAUAUGAUAAACAAACAUUUUAGGUCAACGGUUAAUCAGCUUUAUAUAAAAUGACUAAUUAAAGCUGUGUAUACAGAUUAAUUUUUAAAAAUCAAUUUUUUGAAGCUACAUGAAGAUCAAUGCCAUUUUUUUUAAUGGAAUUAUUAUUGUAUAUGAGUUUUUUCACAUAACAUGAUUCCUUUAAUUCUGCAUAUAAAAGUAUUGGAAUUUUUGAAAAAUGUAAUAUGUAAAAAUAUUAGAAUUUUUUUCACUACAGAAACCUGUUUUCCAGAUAGCUAAAACACAUGCGGCUUAAUGAUUACUUCAAGGCCAUACUGCUUUUAAUUACUUGGAAAAUAACAAGUGGUUUCUGUGGUCAAACAAAUUCUUUCAAUAUUUUUAUUUACCAUAUAUUUUAAAUUUGUGGAAAUUUAGAAAAAAAAUAUCUUAAGUUUCCUCAGGUUUUAUAAGUCUUCUUCGAAGAAGUCUUUUAGAAUUGAUUUCAAAAUUGAUUAUCAUUAUAUAAAAAAUUUUAGAAAAGAUCUAAGCUUUUUCAGUAUCUCUGAAAAAUGUUUCAAUUAAUUCAUAUAUAAAAAAAGCAGAAAUUUUCAAAAAAACCAAAACGUUAUAAAAUUAUGAAUAGAAGAUUCUAAAAAAAUUAUAUAGAAUUUCCGAAAAAUAUGACGUGAAGAAAACCAGGAGAUACCUUUUCACUAGGAAUUGCACGCAUUCGUGGCGCAAAUUAUACGACAUUAUGCGACACGUAAACGCUCGACGAUGAACGAACGAUGGAGGAAAGUCCGGGACGCGACCACCUUCGUGCAUCUCCGAGGAAAUAUUGCGACACACGCUCAUCGUACAUAUAAUCAUACCUUGCGUAACUCUCUCUCUCUCUAUCUCUCUCGUCCGUUAUUUUGCGAGAGAACAGGUAUGAUUACGCAAAUAAUCGCGCGACGUACUGAGGAUCAUUGUUCGCCGUACGUAUCCUCGGGGAGUCCACGUGCCAUCCCGGCGAUAACGCGACCGCCGUCGUAAUCGCCUUACGACGAGAACCAGGAAUUCGACGGUCGACGACUGAUAUGCCUCGUGCUACGACUACGAUCGCCCGUCGCUAAUUUUUGCUAAUUUCGCCGUUGCUAAUUUCACCUCGCUCGGCCAUUUUUACAUAUCGAUCUUUAUCGCGGACAGACAAUAUAGCACGUUACGGAUAUGUUCAAGCGAAUAGCUAGUCGAAACAAAGAAUGUUUUUAAAUAAACACGAUAAAUAAUUUCGUAGCCUGCAGAGUUUCCGUCGCCAGACGGUGCGCGCACCUGUGCACACUACAGACGCGCGAAUCACGAGUAUCACGAUGAAAGAUCGUGCCAAUCUACAGCGUGUAUAGGCGCGACAUAUUGUGUAUACAAUACACAGUGUAUUUCGAUUUUUAUCUUGAUAUUUGAAGGAUAUUUGUAACAGUGGGCUAACCUACAUUUUGAUACUAAGAGAAAAAUAGGAAAAAGCGACACAAAAAUACGCAAGGCAAAAAAAAAUACAAAAGAGUCUUGUCUAAACGCGGAAAUCAUUAUGUAACGUGCUCGGAAAUUAUGCUGAACGCUUCGGUGGUCAAUGCGUUUUUGUGACGUGUUUACCUGUUUCAGUAAAUUUGCGUACGAUAAAAAUGCGAUGGAGAAGGACUUAUAGGUAAUUUAAUUAUAACGCGACUUCACGUUGAAUUUUUCAUGAAAGAACACCGAUAACGAUGAGAACUGACGUCUCGAAUAAUAUCUGUGUGCGUAUUUAAAAUACCGGUCUCUAGAAAAUUGAAGAGUAAUAAUAAAUUAUUAUAAAAUAUUUUAAAAUACUACAAAAUAUUAAUUUUUAAAUUUUAUUA